GAAUAUUGGACAAUGGGCGCAAGCCUGAUCCAGCCAUACCGCGUGGGUGAAGAAGGCCUUCGGGUUGUAAAGCCCUUUUGUUGGGAAAGAAAAGCAGUCGGCUAAUACCCGGUUGUUCUUACGGUACCCACAGACUAAGCACCGGCUCACUUCGUGCCAGCCGCCGCGGGAAUACGAAGGGUGCAAGCGUUACCCGGAAUUACGGGGCGUAAAGCGGGCGUAGGUGGUUGUUUAAGUCUGUUGUGAAAGCCCUGGGCUCAACCUGGGAAUUGCAGUGGAUACUGGGCGACUAGAGUGUGGUAGAGGGUAGUGGAAUUCCCGGUGUAGCAGUGAAAUGCGUAGAGAUCGGGAGGAACACCCAUGGCGAAGGCAGCUACCUGGACCAACACUGACACUGAGGCACGAAAGCGUGGGGAGCAAACAG
Molecule: ribosomal RNA, 424 nt
Filed under: uncultured bacterium
Lineage: Bacteria
Description: partial 16S ribosomal RNA
Rfam family: Bacterial small subunit ribosomal RNA
Source: RNAcentral